GAUGUUCCGCACCGCAGCAUGAAGUGAAGGUAUGUAUACUUGUUGAGCCCUAGCUAUGCAACUCUGUACGUACGUACGUAAACCAACCAAGGGCAUGUUACUGAAAUUUUCAAUCUCACUUACUUGCAGGUAUCUAAUUUCUGAGGGAAGUGCUUCCUCGUUUGAGAUUAUUUACAUCUCAUUGGACUGCUUGCUAUAUAUCAUUCCCCAAUUGCAUCCCAUGGUUGGUCCUGAAUCUUCCUGCUAUUGCCGCCUUUGGACCAACUUGGCAUCUUGUAGCAUAAGAAUCCAGCCUAGCUUCUUCACCAGGAACUUAUCCAAACACCAAAUUGAUCAUUAUUUAUGGUUUAUAUGUUUUGCUUGAAUUUUUAUAAACUUUACAAGAUUAUCAUUUCAUUAUGUGUUCAUGUGUUAAGUUUUGUGUCGGGUAAAUAAUAG
RNAcentral lists this long non-coding RNA (438 nucleotides) under Panax ginseng (ginseng). RNAcentral describes it as "long non-coding RNA (PGIN_LNC017989)". Lineage: Eukaryota; Viridiplantae; Streptophyta; Magnoliopsida; Apiales; Araliaceae. The record is from RNAcentral.